This 5381-nucleotide unclassified non-coding RNA is filed under the name Hevea brasiliensis (rubber tree). The record is from RNAcentral. Lineage: Eukaryota; Viridiplantae; Streptophyta; Magnoliopsida; Malpighiales; Euphorbiaceae.
UAAUCUGCGUUGUGAGAUUGAUCAUGCUCAAUAAAGUCUAAUGCAUCUUCCUUGGAGACAACAUUGACACGGCUCACCCUGUUCUUAUGUGUGACCCCAUAUAUCUUAUCAGCAACUUUCACAAGCUCCGAUCGGAAUGUUGUUGUUAUAAAUUGUGUAUUUGCCAUGUCAGCCAGACGACGAAUCAUAUCUAGCAAACAAAUGGUCAAGGAUGUCCCACCCACAUGAUACCUCAGAUGAACACAAAUUCAAAAUGCUUUAAAAAUGCAUGCACAACUACAAACCAACAGUAGUAUUCCUAUCAUCAGUACAGGUGCGAGUCAAUAUUUUGCCACAUAAAAAGAUCAGCAUGCUCUGAGAAAGCAAGGACAGACCUACUGUCAUUGAGAAGUUAUCCUCAUAACAAAUGAACAAAUCCAGCUUCACUUGAACAGGUUGCCCAUAGGAAGAGACAAAACCCUUCACAUAGAUGAUUUGUUUAGUUUCUUUCUGAAAACAUUUUCUGAUUGUACGAUUUUCACAUAAUUCAAAGGGAAAUCAAGAAUUAUACACCAGAGAACAUUUUGGUAACAGUUGAAGAGUUAAAGGACACCAAGAGGAUACCCUGAAAAUGGGCUAUUUCAUUCCAUGAGGCAUGAGGAAUGGAGAAUGUAUGAGGAAAGAAAAAGUGUACAAAGAUCGAAAAGAGUGCUUUCCCCCUUUUUCCAAAAUAAUAAAAAGGGUUAACUAAACAAUUAUCAGAUAUCAUUCAAGCAACAGUGAUUUCACAAUGACUUCUGUUAAGGGAUGAUUCUCAACCACCUAAACCAAUGAUGAUUAGUAGGAACAAAUAUCAAGAAAACUUGCAAUCAACUAGCCAUGACAUUUAAACAUAUCUUAAUUCCAAUAAAGAUUUCAACAUGAAGCUGACUGCUGAUAUUAGUGAGGUGAUAACUUAGUGUUCCAUAGAUAUCUCCUCGUACUGAAGUGAAGCUAUAUGAGCUAUAGUACAAAUCUCCCUAUUCAUGAUCACGAGUAAACAAACUCCCUGGGCAUAGGUUAAUGCAGCUACAGACAAAUAGAGUUCAUGAAAGGAAAAUAGAUUUUAACAGGUAUACAUUUAGCUGCAUAAAAGUUUGAGCCAACAGAUAAAAACAAUGGGGAAGAAGAUCAACUCCCCACUUGCCUUAAACUCAUUGCCAAAAAAGCACAGAGAGAACAAAUAGAAGAAGGGUAAAAUCAAUAAAAACUUAAAAUUGGAUACUUCCAACAGCAGUUCUGUACUGGGGGUCCAAGGCUGCAUCUAUCUCAUCAAAUAGAUAAAAAGGGGCAGGAUCACAUCGUUGUAUGGCAAAGAUCAAUGUCAGGGCAACAACAGUUUUCUGACCCCCUGACAAUUGCUUCAUAGAUUGUGUCUCUCCUUGCCCUGUAAAGGAAACCUAAACAGCAAACAACAAUUUUAAGUGCAAAAUACUUAAAUUACAACUUGCACAUGUCCUAAAGUACUGAAUAUGCCAUGGAAAUUUUGCACUGUCUUAUGCUUGCCCAUUAACUAAAAGAAAAGGGAAAAAUGCUGAAUGAAAAAUAAGAUAUAGAAGAAUUUCAUAGAGAACAUCUAAUUCAAACAAGUAAUAACGCAUGCAAAAUUUAAAAAUAAAAAUAAAAAGGUGCACCAACCAGCAUUUACCAUGCACGCAUAAUAAUUUAGCCACCUUUAACUUUUUUCUUGAAUCCAUUAUCAUGGAACAUUUUUUUUCCAAGUGAAAUAUCCUAGUAUAUCAGAUUAAAAAAAGCAUGAUGAAACCACCUGAUCUUCAAAUGAAGAGUGGUAAUUUUCAAGAGGAAAUGAAUCUAUCUCCAAUAAAAAGUAGUAAAUUAAUAAAAAAAUAAAUACAUGCCUUUACUUUCACGCCAAUGUAUUUCUCAACUCUCCCUUCCAAAUCUGCUUCACUAGGACCAUCAUCAUCAUAGUCAUCAUCACCUUGAUCACCAUCCUUUUUCUUCAUCAUAACUAGAUGACCAUGGCCACCUUGCACAAGUUCAGAGAAUACUUCUCGAAAAUGCCGAGCAACACCUUUAAAAGUACGCUCUAUAGAUUCAUCCUUCCUUUGAUCCAAAACAGAUAUAAGUUCUCUAAUUUUCUCAUCACCUGCAUCAAGUUCAGCUUGCCUUUUCUGAAGUUCUUCUCGUUGCUCAGUGAAGUUUACAUACUGAUCUAGUGCCUUUUUGUUGACGUGGCUAAACUGUUGCAGUUGUUCAUUGCACCUAUGAAGCAUUUUAUGCAACUCUUUGAUGCUCUUCCGCUUAUAUGUUUCAAAAGCAUCCGAUGACAGGGGGCCCAAUUCCCUAAUUUUGUUAGAAAACUCCUCUUGUUUGGCCUGAAGAGCAUUCCUCUUACUCAAUAACUGCUCUAAUUCUUUUGCUUCAUCCUGAAGUGUUCUCUCAUAGUUGUCUUCCAAAGCCUUUAAUUUUAUCUUUUCAUCUUUGAUCUUUUUGAGUUGCUUGGUUAUUUCAUCUAUACUGUCAGAAACUCUUUUCAUUUCCUGUGUCGUAACUUCAACCAAUGAUUUAGCAUCUGUCAAUUCCUGCCUCUUCAAAUCAGCUUCACCAUACAAUAAAUCAGUCUCUGCAGAUGAUAUUAUGGCUUCCAACUCUUGCUUUCGCCUUUUCAGAUUAGUUGUAAGAUUAGUCUCUAGCUCUGCUUUUCUUGUUUCAGUCUCAAUGCGAUCUGUUCUGCAGGCAAUAUGCUUCUCUUUGAGAUCUGCUAUUUCAGGGUUCAGUCGCGAUAGAAGAUCUUUUUCUUCCGGUGAUAAGUGAUCAAUGAGCUCUGUUCCCAUCUCAGCUUGUUUCAUGGCCAUACUGCCUUUAAGUUGAUCUAUUUGAGUUCGGACAUCUGCAAGUGACUUUCCCUUCUUUUCAAGGGCUUUUGAAAUAAAUUGUUUCUGCUUAUUAGCAUUAGCAAUAUCCUGCUUUAGCUGUUCCAACUCUGAUCUGUCAUGAGAUCGCUUGGCAUCAAUUUUCUGCUGCUCAGUUACGCGUUCAGUAAUUUUCUGAUCUAUAUCUUGUAGCAUAGAUCUAACUUUUUCCAAUUCUUCUUCCUUCAGGUUGAUAGAUUUUGUAUUCUGCAUAAUUAUAUUCAUGAACUUCAAUUUUGAACGUCGAUGGUCAUAAAAACCCCCCGUCAUACCACCUUUCUUGCUUACUUGAUCACCUUCUAAAGUUAUACAGUCCAGAUUAUCAGUUCGAGCAACUCUAGUGGCAACAUCCAAAUCUCGGCAAAUCACAGUUCUAGCAAAUACCUGGGCAAAUGCAGGGGUGAAAUUAGGAGAGAACUUCAAUUUCUUUAGCAAAGGUAUCACAUCAGAACUUUGCGGAUAAGUUACACGUGGCGCUUUUACCCUGUUCAGUGGUAUGAAAGUAACACGCCCACCUUUUGAUGAAUUAAGGUGUCUAAUUAUCUGGGUUGAUAUUUCAUCAUUCUCAACCACCACAUGAAAUAAGCUGUUUCCAGCAGUGACUUCAACAGCAGUGAAAAAUUUUUCAUCACAAUCAAGCAACUCAAUAAUUGGACCAAAUACUCCAUUGAUCUUAUAGUCUCUACAUAUCCGCCGAAUAGAAUUUAGCCCUCUUCUUACAUCACCAGGAGUUGCAUGAUCAAGGCUCUUCUCUGCCUUCUCAACUUCUGCUCUCAGUUUAUCAAUUUCAGCAAUAAGUGCACUUUCUUUUCCCCACAAUGACUUCCGCUCAUCCUGCAGCUUGUCUCUCUGUGCUUUAUGAUUAUUAAACCCUUCACGAGACUCUGAAACAAGAGAUUCUAAAGAAGCAAUUUCAGCUUUACGAUUCUCAAUGUAGGCAUCUCGCUCUUUCAAGUCCCCAUUAAGCUUACAAAUUUCAUCCUCAAGUUUUUGCUCCUGAGCCAAAUUUGAAGAAAGAACACGUUGCAGAUCAUCAAUUUCCUUUUGAAGCCAUUUAUCACGAGCGGCUUUGCUGGAGAAUUGGGUGGCACGACCCUGUUUUUGAUAAAGAAUGCUAAGCUGCUUUUCACGCUCCAUUAUUCCUUUAGUAAUAUCCUUUUCCUUUAUAGCUUGAUUCUCAUACAAUGGACUGAUUUUGUCAAGCUCUUCCAUUGAAUCUUGUAUUUCUCUUUGAAGUAUAUCAAGCUGCUUCAUUGCCUCCUCUUUAGCUUGGACAUUUCCAGAAAUCCUCUCUUGCAGAUCCUUUACAUCAAGCUCAAGCUCUGUCUGUUUUUUUAUUGCUUCAGUUUGUCGCUUCUCCACUAACUCUUUCUCUUUGUUCAAUCCUUGAACCUCUUUUGUAAGAUCUUUAAGCAUCUUGUCCAAAUCCUUGGACCUUUCAUGGGAAUCCAACACACUAUUAUACAUCUUAGCUGAUGUUUCAGAAACCUUGUUUCGAGCCUCUUCUACCUCCUCCAACUUCUGCCGAGCAUCAUGGAGUUCCUUAUCAUAAAUGGUAUAUUCUAAAGAUUUACGCUGUCUGUCAAGCUGCUGAUAUUUUCUGAGCUCCUCUUUCUCUUCAUCCAGUUCCUUUAGCCUCUCAUCCAAGUAUUGAACAACUUGAAUUAUCUGCUUUCUUUUGUUUCCUGUUUCUUGCAUAAUUUUCAAACUUUCACGGCGUCUCUCCUCAUAUACUCGAGUUCCACCAAUUUCCUUCAGUAAAUCCAGGCGCUCUGAGUCUUUCAUCAAUGUCAAUGAUGCUAUCUUUCCUUGCUGCACUACAUAAUAUGGAUUGGAGCGGGAGAACCCAGCGCUUUCUAGCAGAUUCAUCACUUCUGUUUUCGUGAUGUGCUUCCCAUCCAGAAAAUAUUCAUCCUUUUUCAAACCAAUUGUUCUACGCAGUCGUACUUCUUCCUUAUCAACCGGAAUGCGAUUGUCAUAAUUAUCGAACACAAUCUCGACAAAAGCAGACAAAACUUGGUGCCCUGCACCUUCAUGGAGUAGUGCAUGCCUAUCUUCACUACGCAGGUUUUGGAAGAGGUCACUCAGUACAAAACGAAUGGCAUGGAAAAAGUUUGUUUUGCCAGACCCAUUAGCGCCAACGACACAAUUAAUUUUUGGACUGAAAGGCUCAGUAGCAAUUUGUUCUCUGUAACUCUUAAAACCCUCAAUUAUAACCUGCUUUAUAUGCAUGCUGAAAUUAUUAAAUUAUCCAGCCUUCAAAUUGAACAUAUAUGGCGUCGGCGACUGAAAACGGCAAUACCAAACAGAAGCAGAAGGUGUAGGGUUUUGGUGUGCGACUAUGGGAGUUGUGUAGAGCUACCGAUAGAAAGAUCAGAGGAAGGAAAAGCAGUUGGUUAGGGUUAGGGUUUCGGUUUUGCAGUAGUACUCCAGAUAGUGUUUUGAGUAAGAGAGGAGACAAAGGAAAAUGAGAGAAAACAAGCGAAA